This 1663-nucleotide ribosomal RNA is filed under the name metagenome. RNAcentral's name for it is "bacterial LSU rRNA". It matches the Rfam family "Bacterial large subunit ribosomal RNA", at positions 1234 to 2925 of the family's 2925-position model. The record is from RNAcentral.
UAGCAUUGCAUACGCGAGGAAGCAGUACCGUAAGGAGCUGUGGAGUGUAUGGAAGAGAGAAUGCCGGAAUGAGUAGCGAGAUGGAGGUGGGAAUCCUCCAGGCCGAAUAUCCAAGGUUUCCAGAGUAAAGCUGAUCUGCUCUGGGUAAGUCGGGACCUAAGGCGAGGCCGAGAGGCGUAGCCGAUGGACAACAGGUUGAGAUUCCUGUACUGCUGUAUAUCAGAACUGUGGGGACACAGAGGGAAAGCACAGGCGCGGAACGGAAAGCCGCGUGCAAGCGAGGUACCGGACUGGUAGGAAAAUCCGCCAGCCAACGGGAAGACGUGAUGCGGACCGAAAUUUAGUAGGGAAGUGUGUGAGCCAGCUGUCAAGAAAAGCCGCUAUUGUGUAUACAGUACCCGUACCGUAAACCGACACAGGUGGAUGAGGAGAGAAUCCUAAGGCCGGCGGAAGAAGUAUUGUCAAGGAACUCGGCAAAAUGACCCUGUAACUUCGGGAGAAAGGGUGCCUCGAAAGAGGCCGCAGAGAAUUGGCCCAAGCAACUGUUUAGCAAAAACACAGGUCUAUGCGAAACCGAAAGGUGAGGUAUAUGGGCUGACGCCUGCCCGGUGCUGGAAGGUUAAGGGGAGAUGUUAGAGCAAUCGAAGCAUCGAACUUAAGCCCCAGUAAACGGCGGCCGUAACAAUAACGGUCCUAAGGUAGCGAAGUUCCUUGUCGGGUAAGUUCCGACCCGCACGAAAGGCGUAAUGAUUUGGGCGCUGUCUCGACAAUACAUCCGGUGAAAUUGAAGUACCAGUGAAGAUGCUGGUUACCCGCGCCAGGACGGAAAGACCCCAUGGAGCUUUACUCCAGCUUGAUACUGGGAUUCGGUAUUGCAUGUACAGGAUAGGUGGGAGGCUGAGAAGCAUGGACGCAGUCUAUGUGGAGCCGCUGUUGGGAUACCACCCUUGCGGUAUUGGAUUUCUAACCAGCCGCCGUGAAACCGGCGGUGGGACAAUGUCAGGCGGGGAGUUUGACUGGGGCGGUCGCCUCCGAAAGGGUAUCGGAGGCGCCCAAAGGUUCCCUCAGAAUGGUUGGAAACCAUUCGAAGAGUGCAAAGGCAGAAGGGAGCUUGACUGUGACACCGACGGGUGGAGCAGGUACGAAAGUAGGGCUUAGUGAUCCGGUGGUAUUAAGUGGGAAUGCCAUCGCUCAACGGAUAAAAGCUACCCUGGGAUAACAGGCUUAUCACUCCCAAGAGUUCACAUCGACGGAGUGGUUUGGCACCUCGAUGUCGGCUCAUCGCAUCCUGGGGCUGUAGUAGGUCCCAAGGGUUGGGCUGUUCGCCCAUUAAAGCGGUACGCGAGCUGGGUUCAGAACGUCGUGAGACAGUUCGGUCCCUAUCCGGCGUGGGCGCAGGAUAUUUGAGAGGAGCUGUCCUUAGUACGAGAGGACCGGGAUGGACUGACCUCCGGUGCACCGGUUGUUCCGCCAGGAGCAUAGCCGGGUAGCCAAGUCGGGAAGGGAUAAACGCUGAAGGCAUCUAAGCGUGAAGCCCCCCUCAAGAUGAGAUAUCCCAUGCGAAAGCGAUAAGACCCCUUGAAGACGACGAGGUAGAUAGGUCAGAGGUGGAAGUGCAGUAAUGCAUGGAGCCGACUGAUACUAAUAGGUCGAAGGCUUAACC